GAUGAACGCUGGCGGCGUGCCUAAUACAUGCAAGUCGAGCGAACAGAUGAGGAGCUUGCUCCUCUGACGUUAGCGGCGGACGGGUGAGUAACACGUGGAUAACCUACCUAUAAGACUGGGAUAACUUCGGGAAACCGGAGCUAAUACCGGAUAAUAUAUUGAACCGCAUGGUUCAAUAGUGAAAGACGGUUUUGCUGUCACUUAUAGAUGUAUCCGCGCCGCAUUAGCUAGUUGGUAAGGUAACGGCUUACCAAGGCAACGAUGCGUAGCCGACCUGAGAGGGUGAUCGGCCACACUGGAACUGAGACACGGUCCAGACUCCUACGGGAGGCAGCAGUAGGGAAUCUUCCGCAAUGGGCGAAAGCCUGACGGAGCAACGCCGCGUGAGUGAUGAAGGUCUUCGGAUCGUAAAACUCUGUUAUUAGGGAAGAACAAAUGUGUAAGUAACUAUGCACGUCUUGACGGUACCUAAUCAGAAAGCCACGGCUAACUACGUG
This 497-nucleotide ribosomal RNA is filed under the name uncultured bacterium. RNAcentral describes it as "partial 16S ribosomal RNA". It matches the Rfam family "Bacterial small subunit ribosomal RNA", at positions 28 to 507 of the family's 1533-position model. The record is from RNAcentral.